RNAcentral lists this long non-coding RNA (1669 nucleotides) under Panax ginseng (ginseng). Its description in RNAcentral is "long non-coding RNA (PGIN_LNC008044)". Lineage: Eukaryota; Viridiplantae; Streptophyta; Magnoliopsida; Apiales; Araliaceae. The record is from RNAcentral.
UAUAGGCAAUUAAAUAAAAGAAAGAGAAAAAUAUUCCCAUUUAAUUUAUUCAUUAUUAAAGUAGGUAGAUGGAAUUAAAAAAAACAUGACCCAAACCAUUGAUCCAGAUCAGCUUAUACAUACAUAAGACGUAGCAUGCAUCUAUAGAUAUAUAGAUCAUAAGCUCUAUGUACAGCUUAUUCGAUCAUAUCUUCAAUGAAACCUCAUGACUAUUUGAUUAUCCACUGCGCUGCACUGUGCUGCGUGCAUGGGGAGCUAGCUAGGAGAGAGAAUUAAUAUCCCAUGCAUUCAUCUCAACUUUUGAAUCAAAUUAAAUCCUCCUCAUCAUUUCUCUCUUCAUGCAGAUGAUCAGACCAAUUAAGAAAUUCAAUGAAAGAAUAACCAAUGCAUCCAAUCUGUUGAAUAUCCAAAAUCUGCACCAUGGUAGUUGUUAAGUACCCAAAGUUAAUCCUAUAUAAUAUUUCCAUCUCUUCCAAAUUAUGAGUCAAACUUAAAAUUGAUAUAUAUAUAUAUAUAUAUAUAGGGUUUUAAUUCGUGGCAAACGGUUGUCAUAGGCACUGUUCAGCAACCAAGUUUACAUCCGUUGAUUCAUACACUUAAUGACUAAGAUUGGUCAAUUUUUCUCCCUGCCGCUACAGCUUGUAGCGGCAGUCCACAUCCCCCAAUCCGUGCUAGCAAUUCACGUUACUGCCCCUAACAAUUUAAUACAUGUCUGCUGCAGCAAUUUACGUUACUACCCCUAACAAUUUAAUACAUGUCUGCCGCUCCAGGCUAUGUGGCGGCAGUGUGGCAUAUUAAGGAUAUGGUUCAUUUGGUAAGAUAAUGUAAAGAUAAGUUUAUUUUUAUGUAUACAUAAUGUAAAAAUAAAAGAUAAUGUAAAAAUAAAUGCUAAUGUAAAGAUAAGUCUGAAUAAAAGAUAAAUUUAUUUUUAUCUAAAAAUAAGAUAAAUAAAUUUUAUAAUUCAAACUUAUCUUAUUUUUGGGAUAGAGGGUGUACCCAUGUAUACAUAAUAUAAAAAUAAGAUAAAUUUGAAUACAUGAGUAUCAUAAAAAUAAAUUUAUCUUUUAUUCAAACUUAUCUUAUUUUUACAUUAUGUAUACAUAAAAAUAAAUUUAUCUUUUAUUCAGACUUAUCUUUUAUUUUUACAUUAUCUUUUAUUUUUACAUAUGUAUACAUAAAAAUAAACUCAUCUUUACAUUAUCUUACCAAAUGAACCAUAUCCUUAAUAUGUAUGGAUGAAAGUCACACUGGCGUCACAGCCUGUAACGGCAUGCAUGUAUUAAAUUGUUAGGGGCAGUAACGUAAAUUACUAGCACGGAUUGGGGGGGUUGGGGGAUUGGGGGAUGUGGACGGCCGUUACAAGCUGUAGCGGCAUGGAGAAAAUUUGAUCAAUCUCAGCCAUUAAGUGUAUGGAUCAACGGAUGUAAACUUGAUUGUUGAACAGUGCCUAUGACAACCGUUUGCCAAUGAUUAAAACUCAUAUAUAUAUAUAUAUAUAUAUAUAUAUAUAUAUAUGCUAAAUUUGAGUGAAAUAUUAUAUUAUAUUAUAUACAGAUAUAGUACCUAUCAAACUCUGAACAGUCCUUCACUUGAUGAAUGAAGUCCCAAGUUGACAUCAUUUCCUUGGUCAGCUGGAAAAUAUUUGCAACAUAUAUAUAUAUAUAUAUAU